GGCUUGUCUAAAUUCCAAGAUCACAAAGAUAAGUAAAAAUAGCCUUUGAUUUGGAGGGCUUGAAUUGGGUAGGGAGAAUCCAAUGUGUGUAAGUUAAUGCUAGGGAAGGGGAGAAACUGAUCAUAUUUUGGGGAUAGGGAAUUAAAAGUUUUUUCUUGGACCAGGAGAUAAGAGGGCAUGUGUUUGGGACAAUAUGUAGAAGUAGGUCAGGAAACCAUUGCUGGACUGGAAGCUAAGUACAUUCUGGGCCAGGUGAAGAAUAAGGAAGGUCUAAAGGCAGAGCUUAUUUUAAGUUCAGAAAACAGUAAUCAACCAAGUCCCACAAGAAGGCAGGAUGGUAGAAUACAAGAGAUAGGAAUUUUGGGAUCUGGAAGCACAGGCUAGAAACAGGACAAAAGAACAAGGUAGUCUGGAUGUUAUAGUUUGUAUAUGAAGUGCUCCCCAAAGCUCCUGUGUUAAUCCAGGAAUGUUCAGAGGUAAAGUGAUUACAUGGUGAAAACUUCAAUCUAAUCAGUCUAUCCUAGUUUGAAUGGACUGGAUAGUUAACUGUAUGCAGGUGGGGCAUAGCAAGAGGAGGGUCACUGGGUUUGUGUCCUGGAAGAGUUCUUCCCUGUUGUCCCUCCCCACCUUCUCUCUCUCUACUUCUGGGAUCCUGUGAAAGGAGAACUCCUUCACUAUUCCCUUUCACUAUGAUCUUCUGCCUCACAAUGGGCCCAGAGCUAUGGACUCAGCUGACUAUAGACUAACCCUCAGCAAUCAUGAACCAAAAUAAAAUUUUCCUCCUCUAGGUUGUUCUUAUUGCGUAUUUUGGUCAUAGUGAUGAAAAGCUGGCUAAUACAUUGGAUUUGGGUGGAGACAGCUAUCUUGGCUCAAGUAAGGGGUAAAGUCGUUUUGUUGCUCAGGAGGAUUUCAAUUUAUGAGAUAUUUUAU
Molecule: long non-coding RNA, 930 nt
Filed under: Marmota monax (woodchuck)
Lineage: Eukaryota; Metazoa; Chordata; Mammalia; Rodentia; Sciuridae
Source: RNAcentral